RNAcentral lists this ribosomal RNA (2906 nucleotides) under Escherichia coli. RNAcentral's name for it is "23S ribosomal RNA". It matches the Rfam family "Bacterial large subunit ribosomal RNA". The record is from RNAcentral. Lineage: Bacteria; Pseudomonadati; Pseudomonadota; Gammaproteobacteria; Enterobacterales; Enterobacteriaceae.
GGUUAAGCGACUAAGCGUACACGGUGGAUGCCCUGGCAGUCAGAGGCGAUGAAGGACGUGCUAAUCUGCGAUAAGCGUCGGUAAGGUGAUAUGAACCGUUAUAACCGGCGAUUUCCGAAUGGGGAAACCCAGUGUGAUUCGUCACACUAUCAUUAACUGAAUCCAUAGGUUAAUGAGGCGAACCGGGGGAACUGAAACAUCUAAGUACCCCGAGGAAAAGAAAUCAACCGAGAUUCCCCCAGUAGCGGCGAGCGAACGGGGAGCAGCCCAGAGCCUGAAUCAGUGUGUGUGUUAGUGGAAGCGUCUGGAAAGGCGCGCGAUACAGGGUGACAGCCCCGUACACAAAAAUGCACAUGCUGUGAGCUCGAUGAGUAGGGCGGGACACGUGGUAUCCUGUCUGAAUAUGGGGGGACCAUCCUCCAAGGCUAAAUACUCCUGACUGACCGAUAGUGAACCAGUACCGUGAGGGAAAGGCGAAAAGAACCCCGGCGAGGGGAGUGAAAAAGAACCUGAAACCGUGUACGUACAAGCAGUGGGAGCACGCUUAGGCGUGUGACUGCGUACCUUUUGUAUAAUGGGUCAGCGACUUAUAUUCUGUAGCAAGGUUAACCGAAUAGGGGAGCCGAAGGGAAACCGAGUCUUAACUGGGCGUUAAGUUGCAGGGUAUAGACCCGAAACCCGGUGAUCUAGCCAUGGGCAGGUUGAAGGUUGGGUAACACUAACUGGAGGACCGAACCGACUAAUGUUGAAAAAUUAGCGGAUGACUUGUGGCUGGGGGUGAAAGGCCAAUCAAACCGGGAGAUAGCUGGUUCUCCCCGAAAGCUAUUUAGGUAGCGCCUCGUGAAUUCAUCUCCGGGGGUAGAGCACUGUUUCGGCAAGGGGGUCAUCCCGACUUACCAACCCGAUGCAAACUGCGAAUACCGGAGAAUGUUAUCACGGGAGACACACGGCGGGUGCUAACGUCCGUCGUGAAGAGGGAAACAACCCAGACCGCCAGCUAAGGUCCCAAAGUCAUGGUUAAGUGGGAAACGAUGUGGGAAGGCCCAGACAGCCAGGAUGUUGGCUUAGAAGCAGCCAUCAUUUAAAGAAAGCGUAAUAGCUCACUGGUCGAGUCGGCCUGCGCGGAAGAUGUAACGGGGCUAAACCAUGCACCGAAGCUGCGGCAGCGACGCUUAUGCGUUGUUGGGUAGGGGAGCGUUCUGUAAGCCUGCGAAGGUGUGCUGUGAGGCAUGCUGGAGGUAUCAGAAGUGCGAAUGCUGACAUAAGUAACGAUAAAGCGGGUGAAAAGCCCGCUCGCCGGAAGACCAAGGGUUCCUGUCCAACGUUAAUCGGGGCAGGGUGAGUCGACCCCUAAGGCGAGGCCGAAAGGCGUAGUCGAUGGGAAACAGGUUAAUAUUCCUGUACUUGGUGUUACUGCGAAGGGGGGACGGAGAAGGCUAUGUUGGCCGGGCGACGGUUGUCCCGGUUUAAGCGUGUAGGCUGGUUUUCCAGGCAAAUCCGGAAAAUCAAGGCUGAGGCGUGAUGACGAGGCACUACGGUGCUGAAGCAACAAAUGCCCUGCUUCCAGGAAAAGCCUCUAAGCAUCAGGUAACAUCAAAUCGUACCCCAAACCGACACAGGUGGUCAGGUAGAGAAUACCAAGGCGCUUGAGAGAACUCGGGUGAAGGAACUAGGCAAAAUGGUGCCGUAACUUCGGGAGAAGGCACGCUGAUAUGUAGGUGAAGUCCCUCGCGGAUGGAGCUGAAAUCAGUCGAAGAUACCAGCUGGCUGCAACUGUUUAUUAAAAACACAGCACUGUGCAAACACGAAAGUGGACGUAUACGGUGUGACGCCUGCCCGGUGCCGGAAGGUUAAUUGAUGGGGUUAGCCGCAAGGCGAAGCUCUUGAUCGAAGCCCCGGUAAACGGCGGCCGUAACUAUAACGGUCCUAAGGUAGCGAAAUUCCUUGUCGGGUAAGUUCCGACCUGCACGAAUGGCGUAAUGAUGGCCAGGCUGUCUCCACCCGAGACUCAGUGAAAUUGAACUCGCUGUGAAGAUGCAGUGUACCCGCGGCAAGACGGAAAGACCCCGUGAACCUUUACUAUAGCUUGACACUGAACAUUGAGCCUUGAUGUGUAGGAUAGGUGGGAGGCUUAGAAGUGUGGACGCCAGUCUGCAUGGAGCCGACCUUGAAAUACCACCCUUUAAUGUUUGAUGUUCUAACGUUGACCCGUAAUCCGGGUUGCGGACAGUGUCUGGUGGGUAGUUUGACUGGGGCGGUCUCCUCCUAAAGAGUAACGGAGGAGCACGAAGGUUGGCUAAUCCUGGUCGGACAUCAGGAGGUUAGUGCAAUGGCAUAAGCCAGCUUGACUGCGAGCGUGACGGCGCGAGCAGGUGCGAAAGCAGGUCAUAGUGAUCCGGUGGUUCUGAAUGGAAGGGCCAUCGCUCAACGGAUAAAAGGUACUCCGGGGAUAACAGGCUGAUACCGCCCAAGAGUUCAUAUCGACGGCGGUGUUUGGCACCUCGAUGUCGGCUCAUCACAUCCUGGGGCUGAAGUAGGUCCCAAGGGUAUGGCUGUUCGCCAUUUAAAGUGGUACGCGAGCUGGGUUUAGAACGUCGUGAGACAGUUCGGUCCCUAUCUGCCGUGGGCGCUGGAGAACUGAGGGGGGCUGCUCCUAGUACGAGAGGACCGGAGUGGACGCAUCACUGGUGUUCGGGUUGUCAUGCCAAUGGCACUGCCCGGUAGCUAAAUGCGGAAGAGAUAAGUGCUGAAAGCAUCUAAGCACGAAACUUGCCCCGAGAUGAGUUCUCCCUGACCCUUUAAGGGUCCUGAAGGAACGUUGAAGACGACGACGUUGAUAGGCCGGGUGUGUAAGCGCAGCGAUGCGUUGAGCUAACCGGUACUAAUGAACCGUGAGGCUUAACCUU